This 372-nucleotide ribosomal RNA is filed under the name uncultured organism. RNAcentral's name for it is "partial 16S ribosomal RNA". It matches the Rfam family "Bacterial small subunit ribosomal RNA", at positions 527 to 896 of the family's 1533-position model. The record is from RNAcentral.
GUAGGUGGCAAGCGUUGUCCGGAAUUAUUGGGCGUAAAGCGCGCGCAGGCGGUUCUUUAAGUCUGAUGUGAAAGCCCACGGGCUCAACCGUGGAGGGUCAUUGGAAACUGAAGAACUUGAGUACAGAAGAGGAAAGCGGAAUUCCACGUGUAGCGGUGAAAUGCGUAGAGAUGUGGAGGAACACCAGUGGCGAAGGCGGCUUUCUGGUCUGUAACUGACGCUGAGGCGCGAAAGCGUGGGGAGCAAACAGGAUUAGAUACCCUGGUAGUCCACGCCGUAAACGAUGAGUGCUAAGUGUUAGGGGGUUUCCGCCCCUUAGUGCUGCAGCUAACGCAUUAAGCACUCCGCCUGGGGAGUACGGCCGCAAGGCUG